This 497-nucleotide ribosomal RNA is filed under the name uncultured bacterium. RNAcentral's name for it is "partial 16S ribosomal RNA". It matches the Rfam family "Bacterial small subunit ribosomal RNA", at positions 28 to 507 of the family's 1533-position model. The record is from RNAcentral.
GAUGAACGCUGGCGGCGUGCCCAAUACAUGCAAGUCGAGCGAACAGACGAGGAGCUUGCUCCUCUGACGUUAGCGGCGGACGGGUGAGUAACACGUGGAUAACCUACCUAUAAGACUGGGAUAACUUCGGGAAACCGGAGCUAAUACCGGAUAAUAUAUUGAACCGCAUGGUUCAAUAGUGAAAGACGGUUUUGCUGUCACUUAUAGAUGGAUCCGCGCCGCAUUAGCUAGUUGGUAUGGUAACGGCUUACCAAGGCGACGAUGCGUAGCCGACCUGAGAGGGUGAUCGGCCACACUGGAACUGAGACACGGUCCAGACUCCUACGGGAGGCAGCAGUAGGGAAUCUUCCACAAUGGGCGAAAGCCUGACGGAGCAACGCCGCGUGAGUGAUGAAGGUCUUCGGAUCGUAAAACUCUGUUAUUAGGGAAGAACAAAUGUGUAAGUAACUAUGCACGUCUUGACGGUACCUAAUCAGAAAGCCACGGCUAACUACGUG